RNAcentral lists this ribosomal RNA (277 nucleotides) under uncultured prokaryote. RNAcentral describes it as "partial 16S ribosomal RNA". It matches the Rfam family "Bacterial small subunit ribosomal RNA", at positions 524 to 801 of the family's 1533-position model. The record is from RNAcentral.
UACGUAGGGGGCUAGCGUUAUCCGGAAUUACUGGGCGUAAAGGGUGCGUAGGUGGUUUCUUAAGUCAGAGGUGAAAGGCUACGGCUCAACCGUAGUAAGCCUUUGAAACUGGGAAACUUGAGUGCAGGAGAGGAGAGUGGAAUUCCUAGUGUAGCGGUGAAAUGCGUAGAUAUUAGGAGGAAUACCAGUUGCUAAGGCGGCUCUCUGGACUGUAACUGACACUGAGGCACGAAAGCGUGGGGAGCAAACAGGAUUAGAUACCCUGGUAGUCCCUGAG